CCUACGGGAGGCAGCAGUGAGGAAUAUUGGUCAAUGGACGAAAGUCUGAACCAGCCAAGCCGCGUGAAGGAAGACGGCUCUAUGAGUUGUAAACUGCUUUUGUAGAGGGGUAAAAUUGAAGACGUGUAUGCCGUUGAAUGUACCGUACGAAUUAGGAUCGGCCAACUCCGUGCCAGCAGCCGCGGUAAGAAGGAGGAUCCAAGCGUUAUCCGGAUUUGUUGGGUUUAAAGGGAGCGUAGGGGGAGGGUUAAGUUCGAUGUGAAAUUUUGCGGUUCAAACCGAGAAUUGCAGUUGAAACUGGAUCACUUGAGUGCAGUAGAGGUGAGCGGAAUGCGUGGUGUAGCGGUGAAAUGCGUAGAUAUCACGAAGAACUCCGAUUGCGAAGGCAGCUUACCGGCCCGCAACUGACGCUGAUGCACGAAAGCAUGGGUAUCGAACAGGAUUAGAUACCCUAGUAGUC
Molecule: ribosomal RNA, 460 nt
Filed under: uncultured bacterium
Lineage: Bacteria
Description: partial 16S ribosomal RNA
Rfam family: Bacterial small subunit ribosomal RNA
Source: RNAcentral